RNAcentral lists this ribosomal RNA (677 nucleotides) under uncultured Alphaproteobacteria bacterium. RNAcentral describes it as "bacterial SSU rRNA". It matches the Rfam family "Bacterial small subunit ribosomal RNA", at positions 66 to 788 of the family's 1533-position model. Lineage: Bacteria; Pseudomonadati; Pseudomonadota; Alphaproteobacteria. The record is from RNAcentral.
GCGAAGUAGCAAUACUUAGUGGCAGACGGGUGAGUAACAUGUAGGUAUCUUCCCUUUGGUGAGGAAUAACACGAGGAAACUUGUGCUAAUACCUCAUAAGUCUUUACGGAGAAAGCUUUAUGCGCCAUUGGAUGAGCCUGCACUUGAUUAGUUUGUUGGUGGGGUAAUGGCCUACCAAGACAAUGAUCAAUAGCUGAUUUGAGAGGAUGAUCAGCCACAUUGGGACUGAGACACGGCCCAAACUCCUACGGGAGGCAGCAGUAGGGAAUCUUGCACAAUGGGGGAAACCCUGAUGCAGCGAUGCCGCGUGAGUGAAGAAGGCCUUUGGGUUGUAAAGCUCUUUCGUCGGGGAAGAAAAUGACUGUACCCGAAUAAGAAGGUCCGGCUAACUUCGUGCCAGCAGCCGCGGUAAUACGAAGGGACCUAGCGUAGUUCGGAAUUACUGGGCUUAAAGAGUUCGUAGGUGGUUAAAAAAGUUGGUGGUGAAAUCCCAGAGCUUAACUCUGGAACUGCCAUCAAAACUUUUUAGCUAGAGUAUGAUAGAGGAAAGCAGAAUUUCUAGUGUAGAGGUGAAAUUCGUAGAUAUUAGAAAGAAUACCAAUUGCGAAGGCAGCUUUCUGGAUCAUUACUGACACUGAGGAACGAAAGCAUGGGUAGCGAAGAGGAUUAGAUACCCU